Molecule: long non-coding RNA, 754 nt
Filed under: Equus caballus (horse)
Lineage: Eukaryota; Metazoa; Chordata; Mammalia; Perissodactyla; Equidae
Description: lncRNA (ENSECAG00000057424.1)
Source: RNAcentral
GGAUGAGGCUCGGGCACCCCCGCCCCCACCGCCCGGCCACCCCGGCCCGGGGCGCCCUCCUCCCCUGAGCUGGCGGGUUGUGUAUUUCCUCUUGUGCACGGAUGCCAAUCCCCAAGGUGGUGGCGAGCCAAACGGGGCUGCCGCGGGCGGCUGGAGCUGGACACUGUUUGUAACUGAAACCCUGGCCUGCGGCUUUGGCCACCUGCUCCUGAAACCAGCCCGCUGUUUCCGCCCACUGAGCCUCCUCCAAGGGCUGGAGCCCAGCCGAAAGGAUGCGGAGAGCGAUCUUCAAGGGAGGGCACGCCGGAUGGCAGCGUCAGCAAACGCUUGAGCAAACGCGAGGAGGUGGCAACUCCAAGAGAGGAGCAUUUGCGGAGCAGCCAGCCCCGCGGCAGCUAAAGCACCUGGGCCAUGGCCUCAGUUUCCCCACCUGGAAGCAGAGGGCAAACGGAGGCUCCCCAAGCGGCGGGGCCGGGACCACUGCCCCCUGGCCUUGUCGGCUGCCAGACCUCCCUCACCCAGAGGCCUGUCUCUUUUGCCACAAAAUUCAGCAUCUCUUGGUUUCAAUCUCAGCCUCUCCCCCUCCCCCUGCCCUCGUCGAAAACCGGAAAAGUCUGUUUUGCAAACUCCGUGGGAGGCGGAAGGGGCGCGGGGCUGCCUGGGAGAGGCGCGCCGCUGCCGCCCCCUGGUGGCCGUGGGGGAACGCGCGGCAACUCGCUUAAGGACGGGGCCGGGCGCGCGGGGCGGGGCCGGG